RNAcentral lists this ribosomal RNA (2233 nucleotides) under Chloroflexota bacterium. RNAcentral's name for it is "partial 23S ribosomal RNA". It matches the Rfam family "Bacterial large subunit ribosomal RNA", at positions 1 to 2312 of the family's 2925-position model. The record is from RNAcentral. Lineage: Bacteria; Bacillati; Chloroflexota.
CGGAAAGCGAAUAAGGGUACACAGUGGAUGCCUAGGCAUCUCGUGCCGAUGAAGGACGUGUUAUACUGCGAAAAGCUUCGAUGAGGUGUAUAAGACCGUAAGAGUCGAAGGUAUCCGAAUGGGGAAACCCGGCGGUGUUCAAGCGCCGUCAUGCCGCGGGAGCGGCAGGGGAACCGUCCGAACUGAAACAUCUAAGUAGGACGAGGAGAGGAAAUAAUUCUGCGAGUAGUGGCGAGCGAAAGCGGAAAAGCCCAAACCAGACGCUACGGUGUCUGGGGUUGCAGGACUUGCGAAAGCUGCGGAAACUGGAAGCCGAAGGAACUGGGAAGUUCCGCCAUAGAGGGUGAGAGUCCCGUAGGCGUAAGAGAACGCAGCGGCGAGUAUCCUGAGUAGCACGAUACACGCUAACAUUGUGUGAAACUGGGGGGUCCACCCUCCAAGGCUAAAUACACGAGAUGACCGAUAGCGCAUUAGUACCGUGAGGGAAAGGUGAAAAGAACCCCGGCGAGGGGAGUGAAAUAGAAUCUGAAACUGUGUGCUUACAACCGGUCGGAGGUUUGAGAGAUCAAGCUGACGGCGUGCCUUUAGGAGAAUGAGCCAGCGAGUUAAUGUGCGUGGCGAGCUUAAGGCGGUGAUAGCCGUAGGCGUAGGGAAACCGAGUCUGAAGAGGGCGAUUUAGUGGCGCAUAUUAGACACGAAACCAUGCGAGCUAACCAUGGCCAGGGUGAAGUUACGGUAACACGUAAUGGAAGUCCGAACCCACCGAUGUUACAAAAUCGGGGGAUGAGUUGUGGUUAGAGGUGAAAUGCCAAACGAGCCUGGAGAUAGCUUGUUCUCCCCGAAAUAGCUUUAGGGCUAGCGUUGUGAGUUGGGUGUCGGAGGUAGAGCACUGUAUGGGCUAGGGGGCGUCAAGCUUACUGAACCCAAACAAACUCCGAAUGCCGGUAUGCCGAUCACGGCAGUUGGACUGCUUGAGAUGAGUUAAGUAGUCGAGAGGGAAAGAACCCGGACCCUCGUCUAAGGUCCCGGAAUGUAUGCUAAGUGUAAAACGAGGUGAUUGUGUUGAGACAGCUAGCAGGUUGGCUUAGAAGCAGCCAUCCUUUAAAGAGUGCGUAACAGCUCCCUAGUCAAACGCAUUUGCGCGGAUAAUGUAACGGGUCUAAAGCAUAGUACCGAAGACAGGGAUAGCGGAAGCGAGAGCGGAAGUUAUGGUAGGGGAGCGUUCCAUAUGCGGAGAAGGCGUCUCGUGAGGGGUGUUGGAGCGUAUGGGAGUGCGAAUGCUGGCAUGAGUAGCGAGAAAUAGGUGAGAACCCUAUUCGCCGGACGUCUAAGGUUUCCGACGGAAGGUCAGUCCGCGUCGGGUUAGUCGGUCCUAAGCCGAGGCUGGGAAGCGUAGGCGAUGGAUAACGGGUUAAGAUUCCCGUACCGGUAUGUGGAGCGAUUUCAGUAGCUUGUGGGAAUGUCAGCCUCUGAGUGGAUUGAGGUGGCAAGCGGGUAGCGCCCGUUAAGUCGUGCCCUUAGGGCAGGAAGUGACAGUAUCCACGGGACGAGAAAAGCUGGGAUUGUGUAGAAGCAUGCCGUCCGUACCGCAAACCGACACAGGUAGACGAGUAGAGAAUACGAAGGCGAACGGGAGAACCUCUGCUAAGGAACUAGGCAAAAUGGAUCCGUAACUUCGGGAGAAGGAUCGCCUGGUGUAAGAAUCAGGUUGCAGUGAAAAGGCUCUGCCGACUGUUUACCAAAAACACAGGUCUCUGCGAAAGCGCAAGCUGAAGUAUAGGGGCUGACGCCUGCCCAGUGCCGGAAGGUUAAGUGGAGUUGUGAGAGCUACGAGAUGAAGCCCCGGUGAACGGCGGCCGUAACUAUAACGGUCCUAAGGUAGCGAAAUUCCUUGUCGGGUAAGUUCCGACCCGCACGAAAGGCGUAACGAGUGGAGCACUGUCUCAGCAGGGGACCCGGCGAAAUUGAAGUAUGCGUAAAAAUGCGUAUUACCCGCAGCAGGACAAAAAGACCCCGUGGAGCUUUACUGUAACUUGCCAUUGCGUUAGGGCUGUCCUUGUGCAGGAUAGCUGGGAGGCUUUGAAGCCUGGUCGUCAGAUUGGGUGGAGCCGCUGUUGAGAUACCAGCCUGGGAUGGCUUUGGCCCUAACCUGAGCGUGCGUAUCGCUAGGGACAGUGGCAGGUGGGCAGUUUGACUGGGGCGGUCGCCUCCGAAAGGGUAACGGAGGCGCCCA